Molecule: ribosomal RNA, 634 nt
Filed under: Meyerozyma guilliermondii
Lineage: Eukaryota; Fungi; Ascomycota; Pichiomycetes; Serinales; Debaryomycetaceae
Description: SSU rRNA
Rfam family: Eukaryotic small subunit ribosomal RNA
Source: RNAcentral
UAAAUCAGUUAUCGUUUAUUUGAUAGUACCUUUACUACUUGGAUAACCGUGGUAAUUCUAGAGCUAAUACAUGCUAAAAAUCCCGACUGUUUGGAAGGGAUGUAUUUAUUAGAUAAAAAAUCAAUGCUCUUUGAGCUCUUUGAUGAUUCAUAAUAACUUUUCGAAUCGCAUGGCCUUGUGCUGGCGAUGGUUCAUUCAAAUUUCUGCCCUAUCAACUUUCGAUGGUAGGAUAGUGGCCUACCAUGGUUUCAACGGGUAACGGGGAAUAAGGGUUCGAUUCCGGAGAGGGAGCCUGAGAAACGGCUACCACAUCCAAGGAAGGCAGCAGGCGCGCAAAUUACCCAAUCCCGACACGGGGAGGUAGUGACAAUACAUAACGAUACAGGGCCCUUUCGGGUCUUGUAAUUGGAAUGAGUACAAUGUAAAUAACUUAACGAGGAACAAUUGGAGGGCAAGUCUGGUGCCAGCAGCCGCGGUAAUUCCAGCUCCAAUAGCGUAGAUUAAAGUUGUUGCAGUUAAAAAGCUCGUAGUUGAACUUUGGGCUUGGUUGGCCGGUCCGCCUUUUUGGCGAGUACUGAACCCAACCGAGCCUUUCCUUCUGGCUAAGCAUUCGCCCUUGUGGUGUUUGGCGAAC